CCUGCAGCAGGUUAAGAAUAUGGUUCGAUCAAGUAAAAACCCUCUUGUUCAAAUUGCAAAGAGGCUGAAAGAGAUGCAGCAUGCUCAAAGGAUUUAUACACCAAAUACAGAACAUAAAAUAUAUACCAAGGCACCAAACAAUGCCUAUUUGCUGAAUAAUGAAACUUGCUGCCAAGUUUUGGACACUGUCAGUGACACCGAUGAAAAUGGAGACAGCAUGUUCCUUUGCAGGGUAUAUUCGAGAAGUAUACCUCUCUUUGAGAAACCUUGUAACUCCAAAUUAAUUGGAGCAUUUAAGGUUCUUACUAGGAAUUCAUCCAUGAAGGUGAUUCCAGCAAGAAAACUAAACCGCACAGGUAUGAUGAUCGAGACAGAAAGCGCAAAUACUUUUCUGUCAAUACUACAUGACUUAUGACAAAUGACAUCUGAAAAGCGGUAUGCAGUGGUAGGCUUCAAUGAUCGUAGUGUGGGUAUCAUCUCCACAACCUGGAUUGAAAAAUCUGAUGAUAUGAUUUUGACGUUGCAAAACGAAGAUGCUUAGCUGCGGAAGACACUUCAAAUGUCGAAACUGAAGACGAUAUGGGCUAUCCUCGACAACGAAAAAGGAAACCAUGCUUCAAAUAUGAAGAAGAGAAUUCCGAGAAUAACAAACGCAAUCAUCACUCGUCUCAAUCCAAGAAGAAGUGUUCGCCAUCUUCAUAUGAGAAUACACCUUCAAAAGAAAUAAGUCCUCCGCAAAUACCAUAUUAUUCUGGUAUAUUAAGUGAAUCUAAUAGAACAGUCCUACAAAAGCCGUCUCCAGUGAAGACUACACUUCACAAUACACCUUCAA
This is a non-coding RNA of Procambarus clarkii (red swamp crayfish), 832 nucleotides long. NCBI's taxonomy places the organism in Eukaryota, Metazoa, Arthropoda, Malacostraca, Decapoda, Cambaridae. The record is from RefSeq and is a predicted model, not a curated record.